RNAcentral lists this long non-coding RNA (841 nucleotides) under Carassius auratus (goldfish). RNAcentral's name for it is "lncRNA (ENSCARG00000005528.1)". The record is from RNAcentral. Lineage: Eukaryota; Metazoa; Chordata; Actinopteri; Cypriniformes; Cyprinidae.
UAAGCUUGAUAUUGUAAUCAUUAUCAUAAAAUAACCCCCUUCAGGGUGAUCCAAGACCCUUGUCUGGGUUUAUUUUAUGAUGAUUACUGUAUGUUAUCUCCUGCUGUACUGCAUUUUUCCUGUUCAAACUGUACUCUUUCUGUAUACCAGAUCUUAAAAACACCAUCCAUUUUGUCUACUGUACAUUUAUGAUAUGUCAGUGCACAGCAACUGAUAAAGUGGUAAUUUUCAGUGUCUCUUUCUCACUCUGUGUAGAGGUGCAGUGUGAUGUACGUUGGAUGUCCCUGUCCAGCGGCAGCUCUCUGGUCUGUCUGUGGCUGAGUGGGAGUCAUCUCCUGCUCCACCACCAGGAGGCGCCACCGAGCACAGUGUCUCCCACAGUGAGGACAGGAGCCCCAGGACAGGAAGCCUUUGCCUCCAGUCUCGCUGAGGCAGUUCGUUCAGAUGCCUUGCGCUCCUCUGUGCACUUGGAGCAGUCUGGGGCAUGUGAGGGUUACUUUGCAGAAGACUAUCGUCCGCUGUGCUCUAUUGGAAAGGGAGCCUUCGGCUUUGUCUGGCUCGCUGCAAGAAGGAAAGAUGAACAGGAAGUGGUUGUGAAGUUUAUUAGGAAAAGUGCAGUGGUGAGUGAAGCGUGGUGGAUGAUCCUGAUCUGGGCCGGGUCAGUCAAGAAGUGGCUAUACUGGUUCGCCUGCAACAUCCCAAUAUUGUGAAGGUGCUGGAGGUGUUUGAGAAUGAGCGAUUCUUCCAAAUGGUCAUGGAGAAACAUGGGGAUGGCUUGACCUGUUUGAGUUCAUCGACAUGCAGCCGAGACUGGAUGAGCCUCUCGCGAGCUACAUCUUCA